GAAGGAAGCUGCAGCCAUGGCCUCUCCAGGGCAGGGAGCUAAAGAAGAUGGUGAUGGUGUGCAAUGAGCUGGAUGAGCUGGAGAUUUCAGUUUGACAGGCCUGCAGUACUGAACUGACAACAUCUCCUGCCCUCCCCCUGCAGUGAAUCACCACCUCUCAAACACAACAACGGGUGCUGACUCCUCUGCCUGAUUGUUUAGGGAAGAUGCUGUACUUGGAGAGAAAAAACUCGUCUCAACCUGGAGAGGUGCAAAAACCCUUCUGAAGGGAUGAUGAAGAGCAGUGCCUGGGAUCAGUGGCAUAGGGCACUGUCACAAACAAGUCAGUUGCCUUCAAAAUGUUGUAAAAAAUAACCCCAAAUUGAGCAUCUGUUUGAGCUGAUGAAUCUGCUCGGCACUUGGAUCACAGAUGUGGUUAUUGCCAUGGGGCUCUGAUCCUCUUUGCUUUCUCUCCUGAAUGUGCCACCAGUCCCACUGAUGUGGUGGAGUGGUGAGUGAUAGAAAUCAAACCGUUCCUUCGAGUGGUUUGUGCCAGGUUGAAAUGGGGUUGGGGCCAUGAUGGUUACAGGGAUUCAGAGCCUCUCACCUUUAAAAUCCUUUGCAGAUGCCUGUAUUUGCAUGUACUGAUCUGAUGCAGCAUAUCAGAAGCUUAGACAAAAAACUGAAGUGUGGCCAUGACUCACACCUGAGGGGCAGACAGCUCCCUGUCUCAGGACAGAAGGAAAACCAGCCUCAUAUUCCUGGCACGGACCGAGCAAUAUUGCAGAAUGAGAACCAG
RNAcentral lists this long non-coding RNA (778 nucleotides) under Zonotrichia albicollis (white-throated sparrow). RNAcentral's name for it is "lncRNA (ENSZALG00000016448.1)". Lineage: Eukaryota; Metazoa; Chordata; Aves; Passeriformes; Passerellidae. The record is from RNAcentral.